CCUACGGGAGGCAGCAGUGAGGAAUAUUGGUCAAUGGACGAGAGUCUGAACCAGCCAAGUAGCGUGAAGGAUGACUGCCCUAUGGGUUGUAAACUUCUUUUAUAUGGGAAUAAAAUGUUCCACGUGUGGGAUUUUGUAUGUACCAUAUGAAUAAGGAUCGGCUAACUCCGUGCCAGCAGCCGCGGAAAUACGGAGGAUCCGAGCGUUAUCCGGAUUUAUGGGGGUUAAAGGUAGCGUAGAUGGAUUGUUAGGUAAGUUGUGAACGUUUGCGGCUCAACCGUAAAAUUGCAUUUAAAACUGGAAGUCUUGAGUACAGUAGAGGUGGGCGGAAUUCGUGGUGUAGCGGUGAAAUGCGUAGAUAUCACGAAGAACACCGAUUGCGAAGGCAGCUAACUGGACUGCAACUGACACUGAGGCUCGAAAGUGUGGGUAUCAAACAGGAUUAGAUACCCGGGUAGUC
This 460-nucleotide ribosomal RNA is filed under the name uncultured bacterium. RNAcentral describes it as "partial 16S ribosomal RNA". It matches the Rfam family "Bacterial small subunit ribosomal RNA", at positions 338 to 795 of the family's 1533-position model. The record is from RNAcentral.